AAGUCGUAACAAGGUUUCCGUAGGUGAACCUGCGGAAGGAUCAUUAAUGAAAUGAUAAUUUUUUGGGGUUUUCCCUGAAAAAUAAUUCACCAUUUGUGCAUUGUUAUUAGAUAUACUUUGGUUAGAGCUUUGAUUUCGUAUAUUGGAAUCAACUUCUUGCUAACUCUAUCCUUUCUGAGGACAGUUGGCUAUGAAGCGGCCUACCAAGGUUUUUUAUCAAACUCUUGUAUUUUAUCUGACCUAAACUAUUAUAAUUAAAUCAUAACUUUCAACAACGGAUCUCUUGGCUCUC
RNAcentral lists this unclassified non-coding RNA (292 nucleotides) under fungal sp. Its description in RNAcentral is "partial internal transcribed spacer region". The stretch from base 1 to 46 matches the Rfam family "Eukaryotic small subunit ribosomal RNA", at positions 1786 to 1831 of the family's 1831-position model. Lineage: Eukaryota; Fungi. The record is from RNAcentral.